Non-coding RNA from Pogona vitticeps (central bearded dragon), 499 nucleotides. The record is from RefSeq and is a predicted model, not a curated record. NCBI's taxonomy places the organism in Eukaryota, Metazoa, Chordata, Lepidosauria, Squamata, Agamidae.
GGCGCCAUUUUGUUUUUCAGGGUCCAGGCGGGUCAGUUGGUCCGUUUGGCAGCGGGUGGGAAGGUCGUCGUUGUUUCUUUCUCUCUCUCUCUCUCUGUGAGAGGAGCGGAGAUGUUGCCGUGGGCGAGGAGCCUCUUGAGGCCCGCAACUCGUGGGAUUCAGCAUACUGUGACAAGAAACUUUCGUCGUAGAGGUGAACCUGAUUUUCAUGGGAAAUAUGGCAACCUGAUUCUUAUUAGUAGUGGUCUGUUUUGUGUGGCCGUUUAUACAUAUGCUUUUACAAUAGGAGGGUACGACUUGAAUUUGUCUCCUGUUGGCCGGAUCACACCAAAAGAAUGGAGAGACAAAUAGAGGUGCCUGCCUUUCCUAAACCCUCCUCUCAACGUUGGAAGCAGCCGUACGCUGGCCCUAGGCUGUGAUGAGAAUGUAUCUUAAGCCAUGCCUAGAAGGGCACUAUUCACUCUGUUACCUAUGAUACAAUAAAUGUGUUUAAAAUGUC